RNAcentral lists this unclassified non-coding RNA (337 nucleotides) under soil metagenome. RNAcentral's name for it is "partial contains 5.8S ribosomal RNA, internal transcribed spacer 2, and large subunit ribosomal RNA". The stretch from base 1 to 120 matches the Rfam family "5.8S ribosomal RNA", at positions 35 to 154 of the family's 154-position model. The record is from RNAcentral.
GAUGAAGAACGUAGCGAAAUGCGAUAAGUAAUGUGAAUUGCAGAAUUCAGUGAAUCAUCGAAUCUUUGAACGCACAUUGCGCCCGCUAGUAUUCUGGCGGGCAUGCCUGUUCGAGCGUCAUUUCAACCAUCAAGCCCUGUUUAGGCUUGUGUUGGGGCCCUGCGGUUGCCGCAGCCCCCUAAAUGCAGUGGCGGGCUCGUUGUCACUCCGAGCGCAGUAGCGUAUCUCGCUCUGGGCGUGGCGGCGGGUGCUAGCCGUGAAACCCCCUACUUUUAAAGGUUGACCUCGGAUCAGGUAGGAAUACCCGCUGAACUUAAGCAUAUCAAUAAGCGGAGGA